UUUUAUGGAGAGUUUGAUCCUGGCUCAGGACGAACGCUGGCGGCGUGCUUAACACAUGCAAGUCGAACGAUGAACUGCGGAGCUUGCUCUGCGGGGAUUAGUGGCGAACGGGUGAGUAACA
RNAcentral lists this ribosomal RNA (121 nucleotides) under Planctomonas sp. JC2975. Its description in RNAcentral is "partial 16S ribosomal RNA". It matches the Rfam family "Bacterial small subunit ribosomal RNA", at positions 1 to 115 of the family's 1533-position model. Lineage: Bacteria; Bacillati; Actinomycetota; Actinomycetes; Micrococcales; Microbacteriaceae. The record is from RNAcentral.